CAAGAGCGUAUGUAAAAGUUGUUGCAGUUAAAAAGCUCGUAGUUGAACCUUGGGUUUGGUUGGCCGGUCCGCUUUUUUGCGAGUACUGGAUUCAACCGAGCCUUUCCUUCUGGCUAACCAGUCGUUUCGGCGGCUGGCGAACCAGGAUUUUUACUUUGAGAAAAUUAGAGUGUUCAAAGCAGGCAUUAGCUUGAAUAUAUUAGCAUGGAAUAAUAGAAUAGGACGUUAUGGUUCUAUUUUGUUGGUUUCUAGGACCAUCGUAAUGAUUAAUAGGGACAGUCGGGGGCAUCAGUAUUCAGUUGUCAGAGGUGAAAUUCUUGGAUUUACUGAAGACUAACUACUGCGAAAGCAUUUGCCAAGGACGUUUUCAUUAA
Molecule: ribosomal RNA, 374 nt
Filed under: uncultured eukaryote
Lineage: Eukaryota
Description: partial 18S ribosomal RNA
Rfam family: Eukaryotic small subunit ribosomal RNA
Source: RNAcentral